This 58-nucleotide transfer RNA is filed under the name Oryza glumipatula. It matches the Rfam family "tRNA", at positions 9 to 63 of the family's 71-position model. Rfam says of the family: Transfer RNA (tRNA) molecules are approximately 80 nucleotides in length. The record is from Rfam by way of RNAcentral. Lineage: Eukaryota; Viridiplantae; Streptophyta; Magnoliopsida; Poales; Poaceae.
GGCUCAGUUGGUUAGAGUGCUGGUCUGUCACGCUAGAAGUCGCGGGUUCGAACCCCGU